This is a long non-coding RNA of Oncorhynchus tshawytscha (Chinook salmon), 1203 nucleotides long. The record is from Ensembl. Lineage: Eukaryota; Metazoa; Chordata; Actinopteri; Salmoniformes; Salmonidae.
CAGGGAGAGAGAACGCUGGGUCAGAUCAUUCACAGCAGACUGAAGCCCAGGGAGAGAGAAUGGUGGGCCAGAUCAUUCACAGCAGACUGAAUCCCAGGGAGAGCGAACGGGGGGUCAGAUCAUUCACAGGAGUCUGAAGCCCAGAGAGAGAGAACGGUGGGUCAGAUCAUUCACAGCAGACUGAAGACCAGAGAGAGAGAACGAGGACCUGAGCCCUAGGACCAUGCCUCAGGACUACCUGGCAUGAUGACUCCUUGCUGUCCCCAGUCCACCUGGCCGUGCUGCUGCUCCAGUUUCAACUGUUCUGCCUGCGGCUAUGGAACCCUGACCUGUUCACCGGACGUGCUACCUGUCCCAGACCUGCUAUUUUCAACUCUCUAGAGACAGCAGGAGCGGUAGAGAUACUCUCAAUGAUUGGCUAUGAAAAGCCAACUGAAAUUUACUCCUGAGGUGCUGACUUGUUGCACACUCUACAACUACUGUGAUUAUUAUUAUUUGACCAUGCUGGUCAUUUAUGAACAUUUGAACAUCUUGGCCAUGUUCUGUUAUAAUCUCCACCCGGCACAGCCAGAAGAGGACUGGCCACCCCUCAUAGCCUGGUUCCUCUCUAGGUUUCUCCCUAAGUUCCUGCCUUUCUAGGGAGUUUUUCCUAGCCACCGUGCUUCUACACCUGCAUUGCUUGCUGUUUGGGGCUUUAGGCUGGGUUUCUGUACAGCACUUUGAGAUAUCAGCUGAUGUAAGAAGGGCUAUAUAAAUACAUUUGAUUUGAUUUGACUUGGAGUAUGGCAAUCCAGAGAUGGAGCUGGAAUGGGAAUAUGGCUCUGACCUUCGUUUUUUACCAGAAAACAUAGGCCGGAUACGGGUCUGAAUUUUAUAGCAGCAGCUUUGAAUAGAAAAGUGCAAUUGUGUUUUAAUUAAGAACAAGCUUUUCUUUAUGUUUUAGUCAUUCUAUGUUCCAGACAUUGUCUGGAUAGAAUUGUGUUUCUGUUUCAAUAGUAUUUAUUAUUGACACUCAGAAUCCUCUUGAGGAUUCUAUCUUACCGACAGGUAGUUACGGCUAAAUAUCUGAUUUACAAAAGUUGAAUUAUGCUGUCAAUACAUUACUCACAAUUGAUCGAUCAAAAGAAGACAGAAGACAAUAGAGAGGGAGAGAGAGAGAGAGAGAAAGAGAGGGAGAGAAGAGAGAGAGAGAGAGAAAGAGAG